UACGUAGGUGGCGAGCGUUAUCCGGAAUCAUUGGGCGUAAAGAGGGAGCAGGCGGCAAUAGAGGUCUGCGGUGAAAGCCUGAAGCUAAACUUCAGUAAGCCGUGGAAACCAAAUAGCUAGAGUGCAGUAGAGGAUCGUGGAAUUCCAUGUGUAGCGGUGAAAUGCGUAGAUAUAUGGAGGAACACCAGUGGCGAAGGCGACGAUCUGGGCUGCAACUGACGCUCAGUCCCGAAAGCGUGGGGAGCAAAUAGG
RNAcentral lists this ribosomal RNA (252 nucleotides) under Coprobacillus cateniformis JCM 10604. RNAcentral describes it as "partial 16S ribosomal RNA". It matches the Rfam family "Bacterial small subunit ribosomal RNA", at positions 524 to 776 of the family's 1533-position model. The record is from RNAcentral. Lineage: Bacteria; Bacillati; Bacillota; Erysipelotrichia; Erysipelotrichales; Coprobacillaceae.